Molecule: unclassified non-coding RNA, 1301 nt
Filed under: Dendronephthya gigantea
Lineage: Eukaryota; Metazoa; Cnidaria; Anthozoa; Malacalcyonacea; Nephtheidae
Description: uncharacterized LOC114517134, transcript variant X2
Source: RNAcentral
UUAUCGUGACACAUCGUCACAGCAUGAUUAUAGAUCAUAUGACACUAGCCGGUCAAUGAUCAGUCCGUUUCGUGCACUUGAAAGAAGACGACUGCAUGAACACAUGCUUUCGUGCUGCCGAGAUCAACAGUAGGCGAAAAAGCCGAGGAUUGCGUCAAAGAAAAGCAGUAUUGGAGCAAGUCUGCCUUAAAUCCAAAUGGAGCUUGUGUUCGUUGUCCACCUUAUUGGCAGAAUUGCAAUAAAGAAGCGGGCGGCGAUAAAGACCGCUGUAUCAAAUCCUGUCGUGUCAAACCAAAAACCAAACCAAAAACCAAGCCAAACAAAAUGACUUCGACAACUCCUUCAUACAACGAUAUCCGUUCAACUACUACGUCAGUGCAGUCUCAACCACAACCGACUUCGACACGAAUACUUCAUUCAACUUCUAGUACAAUCUUGGCGUUUUCUUCACAAAUAUACCGAGGAAAACCGAACGACAAAUCUGGUCACGAUAAGCCGGGAAAGAUUAUUGCGAUCGCUGUUCCUCUCACUGUCGUAUUUCUUCUGGUCUUGUUUGCAGCUUUGGUGCGGCUGAUUCAAAGCCAUCGUAAACGAGCUGAAAAGGAACGAUUGCGUCGCGUGGGCAUUGAAGAAGAUGGCAGAUCUCAGAAUGCACUACCCAUUCAAGACACUCGUUUAGAUUUAAGGCGUGGCGGAACUCAAGAAACUGAAAAAGACGACAUGCAGGAUAUAAAAUAGAUCAUCCUAGGCCUAGCUGUGAAAAACAUUUUGAUAUCGAGUCAGAGUAUUUAAAAUUUUUCCGUAGUCGGCGCAAAGCUCUGUUAGAGGGUACUAAUUCUGUCCGGAGACUUAUUGCACCCUGGUAUAUGGUGAUUGCAAAGGUUGUUGACAUGAUGAUGUCAUGAACGUGGAAAGUAUAGGCCUUUUUGAAAUGAUAUUUUUAACCUCGAAUGAUUAGAAAAAGUACACAGAAAUUGAAAUUGACAGGAGAAUAUUGACUGGAAUAUAAGAUGUGAAAAAGUGCACGAUUUUGAAGCUUUUUAAAAGUGUUUUAAGCAGGUAUAUAUGGCUGAUUUCGUAUUUCGUGUUGUUGUAGUCUUGUUAUAUUCUUGUAUUUGAGCAAAUGAAGUUAACUUCUUUUUCAUUGACCUCGCAACUUAAGAAAUAUUAACUGGUGCAAAAUGAUUCUGCGAUCUAUAGGCGAAAUUAUUCUGCAUGAAUGUAUUUCCAGUUUGUUUGUGUGAGUAUUUAUUAUAGUAGCCGACGCAAAUAUGUUGUGUAUUAACGAUUUAAUCUUGAAU